CAGAAGCAAAGAAUUAGGGUUGAUAGAGAUUGGGGAUUUCUUCAAGGGUGGUUACCCUUCUCUCUUAACCCGAUGAUUUCUCCAUUUUAUGCAACCAACAGCCCUUAAUUUUUCAACAGCAGAAGCCAGACGAAGAACAAGAACAAGUCUCUCUCUCUCUCUCUCUAUACAUAUACUCCACCCUAAGCCAAUAUUUGGCUCACGUUUAUAAUGCGCUUGGAUUUAGUGCAUGUUUGGCUAAAGCUUAAAUUAUUAGGCUUAAUUUCCUUUCGAGGGAAUCGCUCUGGUAAAUUUAAUGGGGCAAUGAUGAUAUUUCCUUUGUUUUUAUGUUUUUCUGAGCUAGCGGAUUGGGAACUGAGACAAAUCGAUACGUAUCUUGGCGUGGCAACUCUGGAUGGCUGUGAUUAGGGUUUCUUGAUCACAUGCAACCAGUGUUUUGCAGCCAUGGCGAGGUCGAAUUGCCUUUGCCUAUUUAUUACAUAUAGAUCUGAGCCUCUAUUUUUUUUUAUUUUUUUU
RNAcentral lists this long non-coding RNA (516 nucleotides) under Olea europaea subsp. europaea. Lineage: Eukaryota; Viridiplantae; Streptophyta; Magnoliopsida; Lamiales; Oleaceae. The record is from RNAcentral.